GAUGAACGCUGGCGGCGUGCCUAAUACAUGCAAGUCGAGCGAACAGACGAGGAGCUUGCUCCUCUGACGUUAGCGGCGGACGGGUGAGUAACACGUGGAUAACCUACCUAUAAGACUGGGAUCACUUCGGGAAACCGGAGCUAAUACCGGAUAAUAUAUUGAACCGCAUGGUUCAAUAGUGAAAGGCGGUUUUGCUGUCACUUAUAGCUGGAUCCGCGCCGCAUUAGCUAGUUGGUAAGGUAACGGCUUACCAAGGCAACGAUGCGUAGCCGACCUGAGAGGGUGAUCGGCCACACUGGAACGGUGACACGGUCCAGACUCCUAAGGGAGGCAGCAGUAGGGAAUCUUCCGCAAAGGGCGAAAGCCUGACGGAGCAACGCCGCGUGAGUGAUGAAGGUCUUCGGAUCGUAAAACUCUGUUAUUAGGGAAGAACAAAUGUGUAAGUAACUAUGCACGUCUUGACGGUACCUAAUCAGAAAGCCACGGCUAACUACGUG
RNAcentral lists this ribosomal RNA (497 nucleotides) under uncultured bacterium. RNAcentral's name for it is "partial 16S ribosomal RNA". It matches the Rfam family "Bacterial small subunit ribosomal RNA", at positions 28 to 507 of the family's 1533-position model. The record is from RNAcentral.